Molecule: ribosomal RNA, 518 nt
Filed under: uncultured bacterium
Lineage: Bacteria
Description: bacterial SSU rRNA
Rfam family: Bacterial small subunit ribosomal RNA
Source: RNAcentral
AGGGUUCGAUUCUGGCUCAGGAUGAACGCUAGCUACAGGCUUAACACAUGCAAGUCGAGGGGCAGCAGUUGGAGUAGCAAUACUCAGAUGGCGACCGGCGCACGGGUGAGUAACACGUAUCCAACCUGCCGCUUACUCGGGGAUAGCCUUUCGAAAGAAAGAUUAAUACCCGAUGGUAUAAGGAGUUCGCAUGUUCUCUUUAUUAAAGAAUUUCGGUAAGCGAUGGGGAUGCGUUCCAUUAGAUAGUUGGCGGGGUAACGGCCCACCAAGUCUACGAUGGAUAGGGGUUCUGAGAGGAAGGUCCCCCACAUUGGAACUGAGACACGGUCCAAACUCCUACGGGAGGCAGCAGUGAGGAAUAUUGGUCAAUGGACGAGAGUCUGAACCAGCCAAGUAGCGUGAAGGAUGACUGCCCUAUGGGUUGUAAACUUCUUUUAUAAGGGAAUAAAGUGAGGGACGUGUCCCUUUUUGUAUGUACCUUAUGAAUAAGGAUCGGCUAACUCCGUGCCAGCCGCUGC